Melospiza georgiana is the source of this 1099-nucleotide long non-coding RNA. RefSeq lists it as uncharacterized. The transcript has 3 exons. The record is from RefSeq and is a predicted model, not a curated record. NCBI's taxonomy places the organism in Eukaryota, Metazoa, Chordata, Aves, Passeriformes, Passerellidae.
UUUGUAGCAGCUUUAUUCUCUCCAGCACCCUCGAGUUUGGAGACAAAUCAAUAAAUUGAGCAGGAGCAGUGCGCAGAGACCAGAUGGUCCUCAUCCAGUGCUUGCAGGGGAAUGGAAAUGUGGAGCCAUGAAAUCACCAGGCUGCACCAACACUCAGAUCUGCCUGGGUGCAGGAGGAGCAGCAGGGAGGAGUUCCCAGCCCAGCCUUUGUGCCAGUGUGCAGCUGAAUCCAAACCUCACUCAGGACAGCGUAAAAUAAAUUCAGAACUUCUAUGACUUCACAAAAAAAGUGAAAUCUGGCACUUGGCAGAGGCAGAAGGAAACAUCUGGAUGCUUUUGAUCAAAGAUGUUUAAGGAAAAUGAGCCUGCAGAGCAUCAAGAAUGGCACAGUUUGAGAAAGAGAAAGGAAGAAUGAAACUCUCCUCAGCAGAAGUUGGGAUGUGAUUUCUGCAGUUUCCUGAGCACACAGAAGAGUGGAGAGGACCUUCUUUGCCCAUUUGCUAGAGAACAGUUGAUAUUACAUUUGACAAUCCUGUAAUCCAAUUUAUAUCCAGCUUGCUGCUGGCCACCUGUGAGCAAUUUUAUUCUGUGGCUUUUUGUUUUAAUCUUGAGAGCACUCAUUUGUCUGUGCAAGAUGAUUCCCUUGGACUGCCUCAGGAUCUUGGGCCCACCACAACAGCUGGGUGCUUAAUUCAGACCCUUGGAGUUACUGAAUCCUGAUUUUUUUGGUGGGAUUUUCAGUCUGUGGGAUGAAUCCUGCACUCAGAAAAUUGCUUUUCAUGCUGUGCUGUUUGCUGCCGUUGUCCUGUGAAGGUGAAGUUGUGUCCCAGUGCAUGCAAAAUGAAAAGUAAAGGAACCUGACUGGCUGACUGCUCCUUUAGACAGUAAAAUGAAACAGUCCUUAGCUUCUGGUAAUGGUAGCAGCAGUGUUUUCUUGAUUUAAUAAUCCAGACAAAAUGAUUUUGCUGUUUAAAUUCCAUUUUAGGGGGUUUGGGAGGGGAUGUUGUCUCCUGUAACAUGGUCCCGCUCCUCUGAUCUCCAGCUCAGGUAUUCACAUUUUCCCCUUUGUUUCAGUGCAGUGCCAAGGCCAGGGAUGCUG